Long non-coding RNA from Nycticebus coucang (slow loris), 239 nucleotides. RefSeq lists it as uncharacterized. NCBI's taxonomy places the organism in Eukaryota, Metazoa, Chordata, Mammalia, Primates, Lorisidae. The record is from RefSeq and is a predicted model, not a curated record. The transcript is spliced from 4 exons.
AGUGCAUGUUAAGACACAACCUCAGUAUCAGCUUACUGUGCGUGAUGUUGAUAUAAAACCUCCUAUUCCAAAAAAAGGAGUACAAAGGAUUAAAGUUAAACCAGCUGCAACAGUAUACAACUUUGUUACAUCAGAAGAAGAGGAAGAAGAGCCUAAAGGAGAUGAAAAUGACAAGCCACAGAGUCAUUCUUCUGGGACUGGCAAUUCAAAUGGAACCAAGACAGUACCAGAACAAGUAA